GCCUAAUACAUGCAAGUCGAACGCUUCUUUUUCCACCGGCAGCUUGCUCCACCGGGAAAAAGAAGAGUGGCGAACGGGUGAGUAACACGUGGGUAACCUGCCCAUCAGAAGGGGAUAGCACUUGGAAACAGGUGCUAAUACCGUAUAACAAUCAAAACCGCAUGGUUUUGAUUUGAAAGGCGCUUUCGGGUGUCGCUGAUGGAUGGACCCGCGGUGCAUUAGCUAGUUGGUGAGGUAACGGCUCACCAAGGCCACGAUGCAUAGCCGACCUGAGAGGGUGAUCGGCCACAUUGGGACUGAGACACGGCCCAAACUCCUACGGGAGGCAGCAGUAGGGAAUCUUCGGCAAUGGACGAAAGUCUGACCGAGCAACGCCGCGUGAGUGAAGAAGGUUUUCGGAUCGUAAAACUCUGUUGUUAGAGAAGAACAAGGAUGAGAGUAACUGUUCAUCCCUUGACGGUAUCUAACCAGAAAGCCACGGCUAACUACGUGCCAGCAGCCGCGGUAAUACGUAGGUGGCAAGCGUUGUCCGGAUUUAUUGGGCGUAAAGCGAGCGCAGGCGGUUUCUUAAGUCUGAUGCGAAAGCCCCCGGCUCAACCGGGGAGGGUCAUUGGAAACUGGGAGACUUGAGUGCAGAAGAGGAGAGUGGAAUUCCAUGUGUAGCGGUGAAAUGCGUAGAUAUAUGGAGGACACCAGUGGC
RNAcentral lists this ribosomal RNA (700 nucleotides) under uncultured Bacilli bacterium. RNAcentral describes it as "bacterial SSU rRNA". It matches the Rfam family "Bacterial small subunit ribosomal RNA", at positions 46 to 716 of the family's 1533-position model. The record is from RNAcentral. Lineage: Bacteria; Bacillati; Bacillota; Bacilli.